Molecule: long non-coding RNA, 771 nt
Organism: Glycine soja
Lineage: Eukaryota; Viridiplantae; Streptophyta; Magnoliopsida; Fabales; Fabaceae
Exons: 2
Source: RefSeq, a predicted model, not a curated record
AUGCGAUGCCCUAAUUUCAUUGCUCUGCUCUUAUAAAUUCACACCCUUUUCCCAACCCUGCAUCAAUCUGUCACCAGAACUUGUUAUCAGGUUCACGGCCGCUCCUAAUUAGGAUUCUGUCAUCUGCAGUGCACUAGUACUAAGGCUCUGUGAUGACAUAAUAUCAUGAAUUGCCUAAUGAAUGUGCAAAAAAGAGUUUUGGGCACCGCUUUGCAGAUCUGACUUCACAUGUUUGGGCUGCCAGUAUCACCCAUACAUAAGUACCAUGUUUGGAUUUUGAUUAUAAUUUUUUUGUUGGUUAAUUGAAGUUAGAUUAGUGUUCUGUGGUGCCUUUUUUUGUUUUAUUUAUUUUUUAUUUCUGAAUUUGGUUUAUCCAGUGCCCAGUGGCUAAUGAUUACUACGAAAGGAUAGUGUUUUGUUUUAAAUUUAAUUUAAUACAAUUUGGGCCUCUACAAUAAGGGUGGUGUAACCAAGGCUAUGUUUGUGUAUCUCCUAUUCUCAAGGGUUUUUCAAUUUGAAUGGGCAUGAAAAUCCACAAGAUGGAUACAUAGCAUUUUAUUUUUUUUUUGUCAAUUUUGCACUCCUACGAGGCCCCAUUGUCAUUUAUCAAUGGAAGCGUAAUCUUAACGUGCAUAAAUAAAUAUUGGGAAUUUUGAGAUUAUGUUUGGCAGUUUGAAUGAUCUCGUGUUCUGCUGUCACAAGUUCCCUUACAUGUCUGCUAUGUAAUCUGUCUAUAGUAUAUAGACUUGAGAAAGUGUAUUUGUUUUAAUA